This 460-nucleotide ribosomal RNA is filed under the name uncultured bacterium. Its description in RNAcentral is "partial 16S ribosomal RNA". It matches the Rfam family "Bacterial small subunit ribosomal RNA", at positions 338 to 795 of the family's 1533-position model. The record is from RNAcentral.
CCUACGGGAGGCAGCAGUGAGGAAUAUUGGUCAAUGGGCGGGAGCCUGAACCAGCCAAGUCGCGUGAGGGAAGACGGUCCUAUGGAUUGUAAACCUCUUUAGGCGGGGAGCAAUGCCGGGCACGCGUGCCCGGAGGGAGAGUACCCGCAGAAUAAGCAUCGGCUAACUCCGUGCCAGCAGCCGCGGUAAUACGGAGGAUGCGAGCGUUAUACGGAUUUUUUGGGUUUAAAGGGUUCGUAGGCGGAUUUUUAAGUCAGCGGUAAAAUGUCCGGGCUCAACCCGGGCCGGCCGUUGAAACUGGGGAUCUUGAGUGGGCGAGAAGUAUGCGGAAUGCGUGGUGUAGCGGUGAAAUGCAUAGAUAUCACGCAGAACUCCGAUUGCGAAGGCAGCAUACCGGCGCCCGACUGACGCUGAGGCACGAAAGCGUGGGGAUCGAACAGGAUUAGAUACCCUAGUAGUC